AACGAACGCUGGCGGUAUGCUUAACACAUGCAAGUCGCGCGAGAAAGUCUUCGGAUGAGUAAAGCGGCGCACGGGUGCGUAACACGUAACUGACCUGCCCUUUAGAUUGGGACAACAAUUCGAAAGGAUUGCUAAUUCCGGAUAAGCUCAUGACGUUGUAAAGGCGAUGUGAGGAAAGAGGCCCUCUGAUCUAAGGUCUCGCUAAAGGAAGGGGUUGCGGCCCAUCAGCUAGUUGGCGGUGUAAUGGACCACCAAGGCAAAGACGGGUAGCUGGUCUGAGAGGACGAUCAGCCACACUGGGACUGAGACACGGCCCAGACUCCUACGGGAGGCAGCAGUGGGGAAUCUUCCGCAAUGGACGAAAGUCUGACGGAGCAACGCCGCGUGAGUGAAGAAGGUUUUCGGAUUGUAAAGCUCUGUCUUCUGGGAAGAAUGGUCUUUAUGUGAAUAAUGUAGAGACAUGACGGUACCAGAGGAGGAAGCCACGGCUAACUACGUGCCAGCAGCCGCCGUAA
RNAcentral lists this ribosomal RNA (515 nucleotides) under uncultured bacterium. RNAcentral describes it as "partial 16S ribosomal RNA". It matches the Rfam family "Bacterial small subunit ribosomal RNA", at positions 29 to 523 of the family's 1533-position model. The record is from RNAcentral.